Molecule: long non-coding RNA, 948 nt
Organism: Callithrix jacchus (white-tufted-ear marmoset)
Lineage: Eukaryota; Metazoa; Chordata; Mammalia; Primates; Cebidae
Source: RefSeq, a predicted model, not a curated record
AAUAGGCUAGAACCCUAGAAAGACAGAAGAGAGAAAACAGCAGAGCAAUCAGAUCAGAUAGAUGUGUAAAGGCAUGAUUCCAGCAGGGACUGGCAAACAAUGUUUCCUUUUAUCUCUGCCCACAUGGCUACAGCCUACUCAAUGUGAAGAGGGUGAGAAUGAAGACCUUUAUGAUGACCCACUUCCACUUAAUGAAUAGUGUAGGUCUGUGAUGAUGUGUUAGGGUGUUCACUCUCGAGCAGCCAUGGCCACCCGAAGAAGUGACAGGCAACAUGUCAACUGUCUUCAGUCAAGAGCUGGGACCACUGGUUCAGUCCAAUAAAUAACCUCUCAUUUUCACCUUUCGAUUGUGAUUAACCAAACAUGUAAAGAAAAAAUGUGAAAGAACAAAGACAUAACAGAUUUGACCCCAUUUUUCCAAAAGUCCAGCACUUCCCUGGGAUGCAAGAAGUGCUAACAGAUGGCCAGUCAGAGAAAUGCAUGUAUUCAGAAUCAAAUAAAACAAUAACUUAUGGCCAGAAUGCAGGUGCUUAAACACGCAUUUUAAAGGAUAUCUGUCUCACUGUUUCCCCUCUAAGAAACUCAAUGUAGUGAAAAUUUUAAGGGAAUAUGCUUUCAAUUAUGUGUUCUUAUACCCACAUAACUGUUCUGGAAAGGAAAGUUCUGACCGAAGUAGGCAAGGUAGGUUUACACAGAUUCAAUGGAUUGACUAAUAGGUUCAACGUAAAAAAAAAAAAUCCUAUACUUACAAAUUAUCCAAAUUUUAGUUCUUCCUGUCCUUUGCAAAACUGUGUUGGAAUUCUAACCUCAGCUCUAACUUUAACACAAGUAGUGUUUUUGUUUUGUCUCAUUUUUGUUCCCCCCGAGACAGGGUCUUGCUCUGCACCCAGGCUGAAGUGCAGGUGUGCGAUCUCAGCUGCAACCUCUGCCUCCCAGGUUCAAGCAAUU